GUGCUUGGUCAGCACAUACACUAAAAUUGGAACAAUACAGAGAAGAGAUUAGCAUGGCUUCUGCACAAGGAUGACACGCAAAUUUGUGAAGUAUUCCAUAUUUUU
Small nuclear RNA from Marmota marmota marmota (Alpine marmot), 105 nucleotides. The record is from Ensembl. Lineage: Eukaryota; Metazoa; Chordata; Mammalia; Rodentia; Sciuridae.